RNAcentral lists this unclassified non-coding RNA (345 nucleotides) under soil metagenome. RNAcentral describes it as "partial contains 5.8S ribosomal RNA, internal transcribed spacer 2, and large subunit ribosomal RNA". The stretch from base 1 to 120 matches the Rfam family "5.8S ribosomal RNA", at positions 35 to 154 of the family's 154-position model. The record is from RNAcentral.
GAUGAAGAACGUAGCGAAAUGCGAUACGUAAUGUGAAUUGCAGAAUUCAGUGAAUCAUCGAGUCUUUGAACGCACAUUGCGCCCCCUGGUAUUCCGGGGGGCAUGCCUGUCCGAGCGUCAUUGCUGCCCUCAAGCACGGCUUGUGUGUUGGGCCUCCGUCCUCCUCCCGGGGGACGGGCCCGAAAGGCAGCGGCGGCACCGCGUCCGGUCCUCGAGCGUAUGGGGCUUCGUCACCCGCUCUUGUAGGCCCGGCCGGCGCUUGCCGACACAUCAAUCUUUUUUCCAGGUUGACCUCGGAUCAGGUAGGGAUACCCGCUGAAAUUAAGCAUAUCAAUAAGCGGAGGA